CCUACGGGAGGCAGCAGUAGGGAAUCUUCCACAAUGGACGCAAGUCUGAUGGAGCAACGCCGCGUGAGUGAAGAAGGUUUUCGGAUCGUAAAGCUCUGUUGUUGGUGAAGAAGGAUAGAGGUAGUAACUGGCCUUUAUUUGACGGUAAUCAACCAGAAAGUCACGGCUAACUACGUGCCAGCAGCCGCGGUAAUACGUAG
RNAcentral lists this ribosomal RNA (200 nucleotides) under uncultured bacterium. Its description in RNAcentral is "partial 16S ribosomal RNA". It matches the Rfam family "Bacterial small subunit ribosomal RNA", at positions 338 to 530 of the family's 1533-position model. The record is from RNAcentral.